GAGCUUGCUCCCCGGGUGACGAGUGGCGGACGGGUGAGUAAUGUCUGGGGAUCUGCCCGAUGGAGGGGGAUAACUACUGGAAACGGUAGCUAAUACCGCAUAACCUCGAAAGAGCAAAGUGGGGGACCUUCGGGCCUCACACCAUCGGAUGAACCCAGAUGGGAUUAGCUAGUAGGUGGGGUAACGGCUCACCUAGGCGACGAUCCCUAGCUGGUCUGAGAGGAUGACCAGCCACACUGGAACUGAGACACGGUCCAGACUCCUACGGGAGGCAGCAGUGGGGAAUAUUGCACAAUGGGCGCAAGCCUGAUGCAGCCAUGCCGCGUGUAUGAAGAAGGCCUUCGGGUUGUAAAGUACUUUCAGCGGGGAGGAAGGGAUGAAGGUUAAUAACCUUCGUCAUUGACGUUACCCGCAGAAGAAGCACCGGCUAACUCCGUGCCAGCAGCCGCGGUAAUACGGAGGGUGCAAGCGUUAAUCGGAAUUACUGGGCGUAAAGCGCACGCAGGCGGUUUGUUAAGUCAGAUGUGAAAUCCCCGGGCUCAACCUGGGAACUGCAUUUGAAACUGGCAAGCUUGAGUCUCGUAGAGGGGG
This 591-nucleotide ribosomal RNA is filed under the name uncultured bacterium. RNAcentral describes it as "bacterial SSU rRNA". It matches the Rfam family "Bacterial small subunit ribosomal RNA", at positions 76 to 660 of the family's 1533-position model. The record is from RNAcentral.